UGGGGAAUAUUGCACAAUGGGCGAAAGCCUGAUGCAGCAACGCCGCGUGAGUGAUGAAGGCCUUCGGGUUGUAAAGCUCUGUCUUUUGGGACGAUAAUGACGGUACCAAAGGAGGAAGCCACGGCUAACUACGUGCCAGCAGCCGCGGUAAUACGUAGGUGGCAAGCGUUGUACGGAUUUACUGGGCGUAAAGGAUGCGUAGGCGGAUUUUUAAGUGAGAUGUGAAAACCCUAAGCUUAACUUGGGGACUGCAUUUCAUACUGGAAAUCUAGAGUGCGGGAGAGGAGAAUGGAAUUCCUAGUGUAGCGGUGAAAUGCGUAGAGAUUAGGAAGAACACCAGUGGCGAAGGCGAUUCUCUGGACCGUAACUGACGCUGAGGCAUGAAAGCGUGGGUAGCAAACAGGAUUAGAUACCCUGGUAGUCCACGCCGUAAACGAUGAGUACUAGGUGUAGGAGGUAUCGACCCCUUCUGUGCCGCAGUUAACACAAUAAGUACUCCGCCUGGGAAGUACGAUCGCAAGAUU
Molecule: ribosomal RNA, 524 nt
Filed under: uncultured bacterium
Lineage: Bacteria
Description: partial 16S ribosomal RNA
Rfam family: Bacterial small subunit ribosomal RNA
Source: RNAcentral